Molecule: non-coding RNA, 227 nt
Filed under: Clostridium magnum
Lineage: Bacteria; Bacillati; Bacillota; Clostridia; Eubacteriales; Clostridiaceae
Description: T-box sequence
Rfam family: T-box leader
About the family: Uncharged tRNA acts as the effector for transcription antitermination of genes in the T-box leader family. T-boxes are found upstream of many aminoacyl-tRNA synthetase genes and some amino acid biosynthetic genes usually in Gram-positive bacteria. The anticodon of a specific tRNA base pairs to a specifier sequence within the T-box motif, and the NCCA acceptor tail of the tRNA base pairs to a conserved bulge in the T-box antiterminator hairpin.
Source: RNAcentral
AUAUUAACUGUGAUAGAGAAAGUAGAUAUAUAGUUUUUUUUAGAGAGAAAAGGUCUUGGCUGGGAGCCUUUUUAAGAAGUUAUAUAUUGAAGUUCACUCUGGAGUUCUAGUUGUGAAACAGUGAAGUAGCAAUUAGCGGGUAAGAUCGAUAAAUCUGCAAAGAGAAUAUUGUUAAUGUUUAGCAGUAUUAAUUUGGGUGGUAACGCGGAUAUAAGUUCGUCCCUUAA